AGCCCGGUCGUCUAGCGGACAAGGAUAGAGGGCUUUGGACCCUCCGACGCGAGUUCGAAUCUCGCCCGGGCUACCA
Molecule: transfer RNA, 76 nt
Filed under: Candidatus Bathyarchaeota archaeon
Lineage: Archaea; Thermoproteati; Candidatus Bathyarchaeota
Also listed under: 2 other names
Description: tRNA-Gln
Rfam family: tRNA
About the family: Transfer RNA (tRNA) molecules are approximately 80 nucleotides in length. Their secondary structure includes four short double-helical elements and three loops (D, anti-codon, and T loops).
Source: RNAcentral